This 253-nucleotide ribosomal RNA is filed under the name uncultured bacterium. RNAcentral describes it as "partial 16S ribosomal RNA". It matches the Rfam family "Bacterial small subunit ribosomal RNA", at positions 524 to 776 of the family's 1533-position model. The record is from RNAcentral.
UACGGGGGGGGCAAGCGUUGUUCGGAAUUACUGGGCGUAAAGGGCUCGUAGGCGGCCAACUAAGUCGGAUGUGAAAUCCCCAGGCUUAACCUGGGAACUGCAUCCGAUACUGGAUGGCUUGAAUCCGGGAGAGGGAUGCAGAAUUCCAGGUGUAGCGGUGAAAUGCGUAGAUAUCUGGAGGAAUACCGGUGGCGAAGGCGGCAUCCUGGACCGGCAUUGACGCUGAGGAGCGAAAGCCAGGGGAGCAAACGGG